GCCUCUGUAGUAUAAUAAUUACACUGGUCUUGUAAACCAGAAAUGGAGAAUUAAAUCUCCCCGAGACA
Molecule: transfer RNA, 68 nt
Filed under: Chimarrogale leander
Lineage: Eukaryota; Metazoa; Chordata; Mammalia; Eulipotyphla; Soricidae
Description: tRNA-Thr
Rfam family: tRNA
About the family: Transfer RNA (tRNA) molecules are approximately 80 nucleotides in length. Their secondary structure includes four short double-helical elements and three loops (D, anti-codon, and T loops).
Source: RNAcentral